AGCUUUGAUAGUUAAAGUGUUAUGGAACCACUCUGAACCAUCUCGAACUCAGCUGUGAAACAUGAUAAACCGAUAAAAAUACUUAGAGAUAGCUCUCUUGGGAAAAUAGUUCAUUGUCAAAGUU
RNAcentral lists this ribosomal RNA (124 nucleotides) under Astrosyne radiata. Lineage: Eukaryota; Bacillariophyta; Fragilariophyceae; Cyclophorales; Cyclophoraceae. The record is from RNAcentral.